CUGUGCAGAUGGAGCUAGGCAACAGAAGAUUUGCCAUAGGUUCUUAAGAAUUAACUUAAACUGAGCAGAAAGCACAAGCAAGGUUUAGAGCCUCUACAAGAACUGACCAUUCUAGCAAUAACAAACAGUCUCUGGGAGGAAGAGAACUACCCAUGUUACUUUUCACCGCAACAGUGUUGCAUGUAUUUUGCACAUCUGGAACCAGCCCACCCCAAGCUGCCAAUUCGUUUUUUGAAUGCUGAGUAAGAUUGGGCAUGAGGAGACAGGGCAUCCUUGGACUACAACGGAAC
Molecule: non-coding RNA, 290 nt
Organism: Pogona vitticeps (central bearded dragon)
Lineage: Eukaryota; Metazoa; Chordata; Lepidosauria; Squamata; Agamidae
Source: RefSeq, a predicted model, not a curated record